AGGAUGCGAGCGUUAUCCGGAUUUAUUGGGUUUAAAGGGUGCGUAGGCGGGAUAGCAAGUCAGUCGUGAAAUGCCGAGGCUUAACCUCGGAGCUGCGAUUGAAACUGUUAUUCUUGAGUAUCGGAGAGGAAAGCGGAAUUCCUAGUGUAGCGGUGAAAUGCGUAGAUAUUAGGAGGAACACCAGUGGCGAAGGCGGCUUUCUGGACGACAACUGACGCUGAGGCGCGAAAGUGUGGGGAGCAA
This 243-nucleotide ribosomal RNA is filed under the name uncultured bacterium. RNAcentral's name for it is "partial 16S ribosomal RNA". It matches the Rfam family "Bacterial small subunit ribosomal RNA", at positions 529 to 771 of the family's 1533-position model. The record is from RNAcentral.